RNAcentral lists this ribosomal RNA (254 nucleotides) under uncultured bacterium. RNAcentral's name for it is "partial 16S ribosomal RNA". It matches the Rfam family "Bacterial small subunit ribosomal RNA", at positions 524 to 776 of the family's 1533-position model. The record is from RNAcentral.
UACGGGGGGAGCAAGCGUUGUUCGGAUUUACUGGGCGUAAAGGGCGCGUAGGCGGCCACCGCAAGUCGACUGUGAAGUCUCCGGGCUUAACCCGGAAAGGUCAGCCGAUACUGCGGGGCUAGAGUGCAGAAGGGGCAACUGGAAUUCUCGGUGUAGCGGUGAAAUGUGUAGAGAUCGGGAGGAACACCGGUGGCGAAGGCGGGUCUCUGGGCAAUUCCUGACGCUGAGGCGCGAAAGCGUGGGGAGCAAACGGG